Molecule: ribosomal RNA, 322 nt
Filed under: uncultured bacterium
Lineage: Bacteria
Description: bacterial SSU rRNA
Rfam family: Bacterial small subunit ribosomal RNA
Source: RNAcentral
GAUGAACGCUGGCGGCGUGCCUAACACAUGCAAGUCGAACGAAGCAAUUGAAGGAAGUUUUCGGAUGGAAUUCGAUUGACUGAGUGGCGGACGGGUGAGUAACGCGUGGAUAACCUGCCUCACACUGGGGGAUAACAGUUAGAAAUGACUGCUAAUACCGCAUAAGCGCACAGUACCGCAUGGUACAGUGUGAAAAACUCCGGUGGUGUGAGAUGGAUCCGCGUCUGAUCAGCCAGUUGGCGGGGUAACGGCCCACCAAGGCAACGAUCGGUAGCCGGACUGAGAGGUUGAACGGCCACAUUGGGACUGAGACACGGCCCAG